CGAGGGUAAAAGAGAGUUUCAACGAGUGAUUUGUUAACAUUUUCUGCUAAGAUUUAGCAGUUUUGCCAAAAUAAUUAUUCAGCACCUUCAUAUUUAUGGUCUAAUAUUUAGAAUAAAUAUCCCAAACAUUUUGCCAACAUUAAACUAAAUAAAAUGUCAAAGUAAUAAAUAAAUGAUAACCAAUUCCAGAGCUCACACCAGUGGCGGCGCAGUCGAAUGUGUGCUACGAAAUAAAUGACAAGCCACAAUAUUGCCUGAUUUCGAUAUGCCAUAAUGCUUUCCGUCAAUACAACAGUCGGUCGGCUGAGUUUUUGUGAGUUGGUUGAUUAAUUAUUAUACGCGUAUAUGUACAUAUGUGAUUCGUAUUCAUUGUGCCGUGACCAACAAUUUUAACGCAAUCAUCAUAAAAUAAAACAUUGAUUACCAGAGCAGCUGAUACCGCACUCCAACGCUAGAAGUGACCAAUUUGCAAUUAAAAAAAGCGAUAAUGCAUUUGUAACUGUAUGCAGAAUUUGUUUCUCAAUAGAAUAUUGUUGGAAUAGCUGUCGUGGUGACAGCUCAUAAUUGUAGCAAACAAAGAAUAAUCACGCGCCAGUUUUUUAGCCUAGUUGUUGGGAAUAGGAAAUUAAAAACGCGCCUACUGCUGGUGGAGGACAAAAUUGAAAACCAUUCCGUCUUAAAUAACGCUAUCAAAGUGAUUGCCAACGAACACUACUGCUUCCCUAUCUAAAUAUUUUUUUGUUUUCGUCAAGAUUUGGUGCGGUGCCAGUGCGGUAUUGCUAUUGCUUUGGUAACUUGACUAUUGGGGAAAUAUACUCACUCAGCAAGCGUGAAAUUAUUUAAAAAUUCCAAAAUUCAAUAGAUUAUUUUUACUUUAGAGACGUAAAUAUCAGUCAUUUCGAUCAUCAAAAAGAUCGCAAUCUUAUUUUGAUAGCGCGAAAAAGUAAAUAGUUAAAAAGAAAAAUUGAACAAAUAAGAAAAUCGGUCAUCGAUUAUAAAACAAUGCUGUGAGUGUGUGUGUUGAGCGAAACAAAAAUAAAAUAAUCUAAAGGAACAAGAAUAGCUUCACAUACAUGUGUACAUACCUACAUAUGUAUGUAUGUUAAAAUUUCGCGCGAAGCUAGUGCAAACGAAAAUUUAAUGAGGAGAAUAUUUGAAUCACCAUUUUGAGGUACUUUGUCUCAUUCGCUUUACAUUUACCUGCAAAAAAAAAAUAAAAUUAAGUCAGCUGGUGCAACACCUGAUAACACCAAUAACAAAUAAACACUGUAAAAAGACAGAGCAUCAACAGCACACUCGAAUUUGCAGCCUACGAGUAGCAACAAUUAACUAAGAAACCGAUCAAUUUAAAAAACGUUCGCAAAUUUGCAAUCGAGCACUUCAAACGCAGACGUGAUCCACACGGCAACGCAGCCAGAUCAUC
This is a long non-coding RNA of Anastrepha ludens (Mexican fruit fly), 1423 nucleotides long. RefSeq lists it as uncharacterized. NCBI's taxonomy places the organism in Eukaryota, Metazoa, Arthropoda, Insecta, Diptera, Tephritidae. The record is from RefSeq and is a predicted model, not a curated record. The transcript has 3 exons.